Molecule: ribosomal RNA, 713 nt
Filed under: Halomonas sp.
Lineage: Bacteria; Pseudomonadati; Pseudomonadota; Gammaproteobacteria; Oceanospirillales; Halomonadaceae
Description: bacterial SSU rRNA
Rfam family: Bacterial small subunit ribosomal RNA
Source: RNAcentral
UUGCUCCCUGGUGGCGAGCGGCGGACGGGUGAGUAAUGCAUAGGAAUCUGCCCGAUAGUGGGGGAUAACCUGGGGAAACUCAGGCUAAUACCGCAUACGUCCUACGGGAGAAAGCGGGGGCUCUUCGGACCUCGCGCUAUCGGAUGAGCCUAUGUCGGAUUAGCUGGUUGGUGAGGUAAUGGCUCACCAAGGCGACGAUCCGUAGCUGGUCUGAGAGGAUGAUCAGCCACAUCGGGACUGAGACACGGCCCGAACUCCUACGGGAGGCAGCAGUGGGGAAUAUUGGACAAUGGGGGCAACCCUGAUCCAGCCAUGCCGCGUGUGUGAAGAAGGCCUUCGGGUUGUAAAGCACUUUCAGUGGGGAAGAAAGCCUUCCGGCCAAUACCCGGGAGGAAGGACAUCACCCACAGAAGAAGCACCGGCUAACUCCGUGCCAGCAGCCGCGGUAAUACGGAGGGUGCGAGCGUUAAUCGGAAUUACUGGGCGUAAAGCGCGCGUAGGUGGCUUGAUAAGCCGGUUGUGAAAGCCCCGGGCUCAACCUGGGAACGGCAUCCGGAACUGUCAGGCUAGAGUGCAGGAGAGGAAGGUAGAAUUCCCGGUGUAGCGGUGAAAUGCGUAGAGAUCGGGAGGAAUACCAGUGGCGAAGGCGGCCUUCUGGACUGACACUGACACUGAGGUGCGAAAGCGUGGGUAGCAAACAGGAUUAGAUACCC